RNAcentral lists this ribosomal RNA (168 nucleotides) under uncultured bacterium. RNAcentral's name for it is "partial 16S ribosomal RNA". It matches the Rfam family "Bacterial small subunit ribosomal RNA", at positions 1333 to 1500 of the family's 1533-position model. The record is from RNAcentral.
CGCUAGUAAUCGCGAAUCAGAAUGUCGCGGUGAAUACGUUCCCGGGUCUUGUACACACCGCCCGUCACACCAUGGGAGUUGGUAACGCCCGAAGUCAGUGACCCAACCGCAAGGAGGGAGCUGCCGAAGGCGGGACCGGUAACUGGGGUGAAGUCGUAACAAGGUACC